AGUGAACGCUGGCGGUAGGCCUAACACAUGCAAGUCGAACGGCAGCACAGUAAGAGCUUGCUCUUACGGGUGGCGAGUGGCGGACGGGUGAGGAAUACAUCGGAAUCUACUUUUUCGUGGGGGAUAACGUAGGGAAACUUACGCUAAUACCGCAUACGACCUACGGGUGAAAGCAGGGGAUCUUCGGACCUUGCGCGAUUGAAUGAGCCGAUGUCGGAUUAGCUAGUUGGCGGGGUAAAGGCCCACCAAGGCGACGAUCCGUAGCUGGUCUGAGAGGAUGAUCAGCCACACUGGAACUGAGGCACGGUCCAGACUCCUACGGGAGGCAGCAGUGGGGAAUAUUGGACAAUGGGCGCAAGCCUGAUCCAGCCAUACCGCGUGGGUGAAGAAGGCCUUCGGGUUGUAAAGCCCUUUUGUUGGGAAAGAAAAGCAGCAGGUUAAUACCCCGCUGUUCUGACGGUGCCCAAAGAAUAAGCACCGGCUAACUUCGUG
This 492-nucleotide ribosomal RNA is filed under the name uncultured bacterium. Its description in RNAcentral is "partial 16S ribosomal RNA". It matches the Rfam family "Bacterial small subunit ribosomal RNA", at positions 29 to 507 of the family's 1533-position model. The record is from RNAcentral.